UAAAUGAAGGUUUUUUUUUUUUUUACAACACAACAAUACAUGAUUUAGUCUUUCAAAAAGUUCGUUUAUGUAUUAUUUGCAAUUGGAGAAUUUAAUAACGAACUAUAGAAGUGAAAUCUUGAGGAGGAAAAAUGAACUAAAUGGAACUAACCAAAAUAAAUCUUUCUUUUCUCGUGCUAGUAAUUCCUCAAACGAAAUGUCGGCAAAUUCAUCCUCUGUGGCCUCCUUCUGCUCAGAGGCUUUGGCUUUCUCCAUACAAGCUCCAAUUUCCAGCAUCUUCAAGUAGAAAUGGCACCAACUUGUGGUACUCAAUUAGAAUGCAAGUCAAUAUUCUGAUAGAAACAUGCUGAUACCAAAAUCUGACAAUGGACGAAGGAGCUGAGUAUGAACUUCUUUUGCUACUAUAUUGCUCAUCCAAGUGUGCUUGCAGUCAGGAAGAAUGCUUAUAGACCACGGAGGCAAGUUGUAAUGCCUAUCUCCAAAGGCCACUGUUGCAGUAGAUCUUGAAUCAUGGUUUGCAAGGAAUGCAGCACAAGCUCCCGAUUCUGAUUUGAAGACAUGAGCCUGGACAUGGAUAUGAGAAGUUAGAAAUUUAGUUCAGUCAUAAAUCAUAUUAAAUUUCAGGCAAAAAAAAAAAAAA
Long non-coding RNA from Prosopis cineraria, 640 nucleotides. RefSeq lists it as uncharacterized. NCBI's taxonomy places the organism in Eukaryota, Viridiplantae, Streptophyta, Magnoliopsida, Fabales, Fabaceae. The record is from RefSeq and is a predicted model, not a curated record. The transcript has 3 exons.